Molecule: transfer RNA, 46 nt
Filed under: Echiniscus testudo
Lineage: Eukaryota; Metazoa; Tardigrada; Heterotardigrada; Echiniscoidea; Echiniscidae
Description: tRNA-Cys
Source: RNAcentral
AAUCUUAAAUGUUGAAUUGCAAAUUCACAAUAAAAUGCUAAGAUUU